Molecule: ribosomal RNA, 253 nt
Filed under: uncultured bacterium
Lineage: Bacteria
Description: partial 16S ribosomal RNA
Rfam family: Bacterial small subunit ribosomal RNA
Source: RNAcentral
UACGGAGGGUGCAAGCGUUAUCCGGAUUCACUGGGUUUAAAGGGCGCGUAGGCGGCCUGCUAAGUCGGACGUGAAAUCCCUCGGCUCAACCGAGGAACUGCGUCCGAUACUGGUGGGCUUGAAUCCGGGAGAGGGAUGUGGAAUUCCAGGUGUAGCGGUGAAAUGCGUAGAUAUCUGGAGGAACACCGGUGGCGAAGGCGGCAUCCUGGACCGGUAUUGACGCUGAGGCGCGAAAGCUAGGGGAGCAAACGGG